This is a long non-coding RNA of Nicotiana tabacum (common tobacco), 942 nucleotides long. RefSeq lists it as uncharacterized. NCBI's taxonomy places the organism in Eukaryota, Viridiplantae, Streptophyta, Magnoliopsida, Solanales, Solanaceae. The record is from RefSeq and is a predicted model, not a curated record.
UUGGAUCCGCCGUUUUCUAUCAAAUCAGACCCCUAAGGCAUCAAAACUAGAAAUCAGCGAAAUAAUACAUAAAGAUAGACCUAGGAGCUAAGAUCGGCGUCAUUUAUUCAAUGAUGGACCCCUCCCCAUGAUGUCUUCUUCAACGUAAGACCUAAAGCUCUUUCUUAUUUGAAGCAAAAAAAUCAACUUCUUCUUGGCCAUUUGCGAUGGUUUCAGCUGAAGCCUAAACGACGACCCCAUGAACUCUGGUUCUUGAAAAAAAUCCCAGAGCUUUAAGCAUCAGUCUCAUAGACCUAGGGCAUCAGCGGCUUCUUCUUCCUCGACUGAACUCCAUCACCACCGUAAAUGGCCGGAAGCCGGCGACGAAAGUUUGUUUCGUCAAUGGUGUUCGUUUAAAGCUCGUGGAGAGUUCGUUUGAGGUUGUCGACUGAGUUUCAAGUUCGUCGUUCCAUUUAGUGUAACAUUUCUGUUGAGAUCGAGUCCUGCUAUAGCCCGUUCGUAGGUCGCUAGCUCUAUUCGUUGGGUCUGUUCAGUUCCAUUCGAGAUUCCGGCGAAGUUCCGGCGCUGCUAUGUUUUCUUGUUCGAGUCCGUGUCUGAUUGGCCGAGCUUCGAAACAGUAUUGUAAAGGUACAUGACUAAUACUGUCAAUGUAACUUGAAAGUUGAGCAUGAAUACAAAAGAGAAGAGUUGAACAUUGUUUGUUUUUAUACGUAGACUGUAUAUUGCAUAUCAUGUGAUGUAUACUAGUUUACAUUUUUGCUGGGAUACUGGAGUUAGCUCUCAUACAUAGGCAAUGUCAAUUGUAUGGUAACUUGAUAUCCUAUUGUGUGUGUAGGCUGAUAGAUAAAAGGUUUGACAGCAUAGUAGGCUAUAACUCAGAAAUUAGCUAUGUUUGUGAUUAACAUGUCCAUUAAUGCAUGAAAAUUAUCUAUCAUUAGUUAA